RNAcentral lists this ribosomal RNA (515 nucleotides) under uncultured bacterium. Its description in RNAcentral is "partial 16S ribosomal RNA". It matches the Rfam family "Bacterial small subunit ribosomal RNA", at positions 28 to 523 of the family's 1533-position model. The record is from RNAcentral.
GAUGAACGCUGGCGGCGUGCCUAAUACAUGCAAGUCGAGCGAAUGGAUUAAGAGCUUGCUCUUAUGAAGUUAGCGGCGGACGGGUGAGUAACACGUGGGUAACCUGCCCAUAAGACUGGGAUAACUCCGGGAAACCGGGGCUAAUACCGGAUAACAUUUUGAACCGCAUGGUUCGAAAUUGAAAGGCGGCUUCGGCUGUUACUUAUGGAUGGACACGCGUCGCAUUAGCUAGUUGGUGAGGUAACGGCUCACCAAGGCAACGACGCGUAGCCGACCUGAGAGGGUGAUCGGCCAAACUGGGACUGAGACACGGCCCAGACUCCUACGGGAGGCAGCAGUAGGGAAUCUUCCGCAAUGGACGAAAGUCUGACGGAGCAACGCCGCGUGAGUGAUGAAGGCUUUCGGGUCGUAAAACUCUGUUGUUAGGGAAGAACAAGUGCUAGUUGAAUAAGCUGGCACCUUGACGGUACCUAACCAGAAAGCCACGGCUAACUACGUGCCAGCAGCCGCAGUAA